GGGGCAAAGUCGUACAAUUGAAAAUUGAGUACUUCAUUUUGUAAUUGUUUGGGUGUAAAAAUGUUGACAAGAAACAUAUUUUACCGCGCUUCAUUUCUUAAAAUGUUCUUUCUAUCAACUCGUUACCUGGAGUCUGUUUAGGGCCAUAACGUAUUUUGAGGUAUGUAGGCAAUUACUUCUCUAAUGCGGACCAACAAAAAUAAU
This 204-nucleotide long non-coding RNA is filed under the name Mytilus galloprovincialis (Mediterranean mussel). Lineage: Eukaryota; Metazoa; Mollusca; Bivalvia; Mytilida; Mytilidae. The record is from RNAcentral.